GACGAACGCUGGCGGCGUGCUUAACACAUGCAAGUCGAACGGAAAGGCCCUGCUUUUGUGGGGUGCUCGAGUGGCGAACGGGUGAGUAACACGUGAGUAACCUGCCCUUGACUUUGGGAUAACUUCAGGAAACUGGGGCUAAUACCGGAUAGGAGCUCCUGCUGCAUGGUGGGGGUUGGAAAGUUUCGGCGGUUGGGGAUGGACUCGCGGCUUAUCAGCUUGUUGGUGGGGUAGUGGCUUACCAAGGCUUUGACGGGUAGCCGGCCUGAGAGGGUGACCGGCGACAGUGGGAAGGAGAUAGGGCCGGGAGGCGUACGGGAGGAGGAGGUGGGGAGGGGGGUAGAAGGGGCGGGGGCCUGAGGCAGCUACGCCGUGUGCGGAAUGACGGGGUUCGGGUGGGAAAAAGCUAUCGCCGGUGAAGAAGCGUGAGUGAGGGGAAUGGAUAAAGAAGCACCGGCUAGCUACGUG
This 468-nucleotide ribosomal RNA is filed under the name uncultured bacterium. Its description in RNAcentral is "partial 16S ribosomal RNA". It matches the Rfam family "Bacterial small subunit ribosomal RNA", at positions 28 to 507 of the family's 1533-position model. The record is from RNAcentral.